RNAcentral lists this long non-coding RNA (371 nucleotides) under Mytilus galloprovincialis (Mediterranean mussel). Lineage: Eukaryota; Metazoa; Mollusca; Bivalvia; Mytilida; Mytilidae. The record is from RNAcentral.
GUAUCUAGUACAUUACUGAUUUUGUAACGAUUUUAAAUUCAAUAAAAAAAACUAUAUUUAUGAGAUAUAAUUAUAACCCUGUUCAAGGUAGACAAUCAACAUAUUGACUUUAUGAAAUUAAACAUAGACUCAUAGUUCAAAGGAAUAUAACUCUUGUAUACAAAUGACACAUCAAUCGAGUUAUUUAGCUGCGAAUUCGUGCACCACCUUCAAGGAAGAUUCUAAAUUAUCAAUAUAACCACAAGUUGUUAAUCUAUAGAUACUGACGACUAUUGAAUGCUAACCACAGUAAAGAAUAUUUGUUUGAAAUUUUUUAACACUUACUCAGAAAAAUGCUCGAACUACUAGACUUUCAAAGCUCAUAAUUAACG